GUCUUCAUGGCUCAAUCGGAUAGAGCAUCUGACUUCGGAUCAGAGGGUUGAGGGUUCGAAUCCUUCUGGAGACGCCA
This 77-nucleotide transfer RNA is filed under the name Cetobacterium sp. RNAcentral's name for it is "tRNA-Arg". It matches the Rfam family "tRNA". Rfam says of the family: Transfer RNA (tRNA) molecules are approximately 80 nucleotides in length. Their secondary structure includes four short double-helical elements and three loops (D, anti-codon, and T loops). The record is from RNAcentral. RNAcentral also lists the same sequence under 1 other name. Lineage: Bacteria; Fusobacteriati; Fusobacteriota; Fusobacteriia; Fusobacteriales; Fusobacteriaceae.